GGGCAUUUCUUUGCUCAGAGAGCGCAGGGAGCCAGGGAGUCUCUGGAAUGUGUUGCCGGCUGGUGCCUGGGUCUCUGCACUCGCUCAAGAGGCCAUUGGCUGGGGCAAAAAUCACAUCACAUCGGGAGAUCCCUGGCAUGGAAACCAUCAGGCCUAUGAGAUUCGUUCAUCCCAAGUCCCUUCAUUUCCUCCAUUAUCUUUUCUUAUUUACUUACAUUAAAUCUCAAUAAAUUACCAUUCAUUACA
Molecule: long non-coding RNA, 246 nt
Organism: Carcharodon carcharias (great white shark)
Lineage: Eukaryota; Metazoa; Chordata; Chondrichthyes; Lamniformes; Lamnidae
Exons: 2
Source: RefSeq, a predicted model, not a curated record